AAAAUCUUUAAAUAAAAAGAAUUCCUAAUUAGAAUUAUCAAAGGAUGUUAGAUUUUUGUGAAAGCAGAUGACAUAAAGAGUUGGUCAUUUUUUCCCCAGCAAUGGCUUAUACAGAGAAUUUUUCUUAAAUGUAAGAAAAAAGUUAAUGAUAUAAAAAGUGAUCUUAGCAUUCACCAAGAGGUCAGGAUAUGGGUGACGCUGACAGAACAAUCCAUUUUACUUUUAGAAGAUGCAUUUCUGUGCUUUUGAAGACAGGAAGACAGGUGCUACUUCCAACCGCAGUCAGUAGCAGGCCACACGAUCAAUCACUUUUCACUGCUGGAACUUGGGUAAAUUCAAAAGGAAACAUAAUAUUCUUUGCCCAUUUCCUGACAGCACAGAAGUUGACUUAGCUUUAAAAUCAGUUACUGACAGGACACCUGGGUGGCUCAGUCGGUUAAGUGUCUCCCUUCAGCUCAGUUCAUAGUUCCCAAGUCCCAUGGGAUGGAGAACUGAGUCAGGCCCCCUGCUCAGCAGGGAGCCUGCUUCUCCCUCUUCCUGCUGCUCCCACCGCUUGUGCUCCCCUCCUCUCUCUCUCACUCUUGUUCUACCUCAAUAAAUAAAAUCUUAAAACUCAGUUACUGAGAUGUAACAUAAAAUAAUCACAUUCUACAGAAAACGUGAUUUUUAAAAAUUCAUACAAAUAAACAGUUUAGAAAACCAGCCACUUGAAUAUUUUUUGUCACAAUACUAAAGGUCUUUAUGAAGAAUUACUGAAAGAAUACACUUUCUAGGAGAUUUUAGACCAUGUAGGAAGUUCAAACACAGAGGGCUGAACUAACAGUCAGGUGCUACUGUUUUAAAUCAUCUGUGACUGUUCUAGGCUGGACAUGAAGAGGGUGAGCUCUUGAAAUAUUUGGAGUAUAUCCUAAUCUCUCCUCUAAAUCAUUCUUUGUCCCCACUAAAACUUUCCCACCCUGAGUCCUCUCUCCUCAGUCCUUUAUCUCUGAUUCCAAAGAUGACUAGCUAACUCACCUACUAAGUCCAAGUGCCGAUGGGAGGGGCUUCAACUCAACCUUUUCCUUCCUCUCCAGACAACUUCUUUCCAUUUCAACAACAGCUUACCGGAAACCUUGCCAGCCAACUUCCUUCUCUCACCCCAAGGAUGGUACUAGUGGUAAGAAAUUCAGACUAAGUGGAAGGGAAGGGAAGCAUUAUGACAGAUGUAGAAUUUUUAGAGGGGCAGGUUUUUGAGGGAUCAUGUUGGCAGCCACCUUUGACCUUAGGUCAAAAUGGUAAUCAAGAAAUUGUCAUUCCAAAGAUUAACCAUGACAGUUCCAGAUUUUCUCAGGAUCUGGAUCUUCACAUACCUGCAUUAAUCUUCACUGCUUAUUAUCAUGACCUAAGCCAAAACAGCAACUUCCAAAUAUAAGAAAUCAGAGUAACUUCUGGGGAAUACCAGAUAUGCUUUCUUAGGCAAUUAGUCACUAGUCACUUGUAGUGAUUGGAUCCAAAUAGGGAUCAACACUGAAUUCCAUUUUAAUGCUUGUGUUUUUUACUGGUAUAUAAGAAAAUUAAAUAAAUGUGGGAAAUACUUCAAAGAAAUUAUCUGCAUUUAACCAUUUUAAUUUUCAAAAACAUAAUUUCUUUUCAUCCAUUAAAAUGGCUUUGGAUGAGAAUUUGUACUGCUCCAUCAAUAUAGGAUCAUGCCUUUUAGCAGAAAUUGGUGUACAUUCCCUUCAUAACAACAAAUAAAUAGUUUCCAAUUAAUUGCACAUUUCAGGAUCAAUAAACUCAUGAUGGCUGAGUUAUGAAAUUCAACCACUGUGACUCUUUUUUAAAAGAAAAUUCUAUGACAUGCAGUUCUUUUGGUAGGCGAAUAUUAAGUAGCUGGUGCUAGGAAUAAGAAAAAUGGGAAAAUAUACAGGCAUAUACAAUUGUGGAAGGCUAUAACUUAUAAUUCAUCAUGAAAAGAGAUCCUUAGUGACAAAUUUAGGACAUAUUCUGUUCUGAAUAUAUAGCUGAUACCAUCUUUCCUGGCAAAUCAGUAAGGUAAGAAUUAAAGGAUUGGGGUACUUGGCUGGCUCAGUUGGUAGAGCACGCAACCCUUGAUCUUGGCAUUGUGACUUCGAGCCCCACUUUGGGUGCAGAGCUUACUUAAAAAUGGGGGGGGGGGUGCGCCUGGGUGGCUUAGCCGGUUAAGCAUCUGCCUUCAGCUCAGGUCAUGAUCCCAGCGUCCUGGGAUCGAGCUCUGCGUCGGGCUCCUUGCUUAGUGGGAAGCCUGCUUCUCCCACUCCCUCUCCCUCUCCUUGUGUUCCCCCUCUCGCUGUAUCUCUCUCUGUCAAAUAAAUAAAUAAAAUUUUUAAAAAAUAAAUAAUUUUUAAAAAGAUAACAUUGAAAUCAUGUGGCCCUCCUCAAAAAAAAAAAAAAAAAAAAAAAAUCAUCCUUUAGGAAAGCUUAAUUUGAGGAAAAUUUUCCCCAGAGUGCUCCCUUCAGUUCUUACUACCAGAGGAAAAGUAGGCUUGCCAUAUGAUGAAAGAUAUCUGGUACUAUUAUUUAUCUAGCAUAUACCAAGGGCUUCACCUUGGUAGAUUUUUAUCUAAGGUGAGAAGGGACGGUUUUGACACUCAAUUACUUUGAAAUCCUAGAUUUGUGCCAUAGUAAAGCUUAUCUUGACAAUGGAUGUGGGCCUACAAGUACUGUGGAGUGAGGGGUUUUGAAGCAGGUCUUCAGAACCACCCUCGUGAAGACUCCUGCUCUAAUUUAUAUUGUGUGAUCCAGACAAAUUUCUCAUGUAUUGCCAAACACUGGAAAUUAUGCUUGUCACAGUCUUAACAAAUGCUUAGCAGCUGUGGCUAUUGAUUGCUGGGUCUAGAAUUACGUCCAAUUCGUGUCCUACCACUCUACCGGUGGGGUGGCUGUAUUCUUUCCUCACUGCCUUGUGACAGCAUCUUCUGCCCAGUGUCUUGGCUAUUAGCCCAGCCUUUGUUGUCUGUGAUCACUAGUUUUCGUUCAGACACAGAGCAAUUCUGUCGUUGCUUAACUUAGUUAACAAGCCUCGUCAAAAACACUGAGAGUGAGCUCAACUUCAAUACUCAUGGGCCUUCUGGCCAAUCGGAUUGUCUACAAGUCUACUGAACAUACUUUUUAAAAAGCUGUUCUCGGAUAUUUUCUCCUUCUGUUUAUUGGGGUUAAUGUUUUUCAUCUCUCAUUGUUUUUAAUGGGAUUUACGAUUUUGUAGUAGAGUCAAACUGCUCAUUCUCUGCAGUUUUAGGAAUUCAUCGUGCCUGAGAAGUCUGUCUAGAUACAUGGUACCACAGUUUCUGCUUGAGCACUGAGAUCAGAAGACCCCAUGAUGCUUUUCAUUUCAGCAUACCUUCAGAGUCUGAGCCAAUAAAAAGAAAGGUGUUAGAAUGUUUAAUACAGUAUAUAGCACAUUGUGAAAAACAUUUGUCACUUUUCUGAGUACUCUAAUCAAUUUGUGAAAAAAAGAUGAAAGACAAAAAAAAAGAAUCCAACUAUUAUACUAAAUGCAUUUUUUUAAUACCUGUGUUCAGAUGUCAUCUUUAAAGAACAGGAAGAAAAUGUGUGGGUGGAAUAAGUAUGCUAUUUACCUUUAAUAUGAAUUAGAAAAAGCUCUUUAAAAAAGGUUUGAAUUAUAUUGGUUGGAGAAGAACCAACAUAAGGAUAUUAAUAUUUAUGGAGUAUUUACUAUAUCUAAGGCACUAUGGGUAGGGGGGGAAAGUUAUUUUUACAGUCUUUAUUGACUAAAAAAAAUCUGUAAAAGGCAUUAAAAUCCUCAACUGACAUCAUUUAAUUCAAAGCUCUUCAUCUUUAAGUUAAUUCAUCUCAAAAAAAGCAAAGGUAAGAAAAAAAUUACUAUCAGUAAGAAUGAUAUAUUUCCUUGGUUUGGAAAUUUCCAAACCACGAUAUUCUUCCCUGUCAAAAUACAUUCAUUGGGGAAUUUUUUACUUUAGAAUUUCUUUUGAACUUAAUCACAGUUUUUACAUCUAGCUGGUUUCAUGAUUAAAUAAAAGAGAAGGUGAUUCCCCUCUUGUAUGGAGGAGACCACAUACUUGAAUGGUACUCUAACUUCUAGGUUCUGCUAUAGUAACACUGAAACCAGAAGCUUGUGGGAGAAAUGUCACUUUAUCUGAGAGAGUAAAAUCAGACUCUAACAGGAAGUAGCAAAUUCAUCUUUUUCUUUUUUCUUACUCCACUCAUUGCUGAAGACAAGAAGUUUGAGAAACAGUACUUUUUAAGUCAUACUUCCUUUACGUAGAUCAAAACCAAAGCCACUGGGUGGUGCUUUCCCCACGGGAAUCUCUAAAGAGCAAAUGGGGCCAUUUAAUGAUGGAUUCAUUAAAAGAGGGACCCCACUGCGUAUACCACACCUCUUGAAAAAAAAAAUAAAUAAAUAAAGCUAAAGCCUCAACUGUUUACUACAGAAUAAAAAUCUAGCCCGAAUCUGACCUUUAUAAACCAGGUGAAUUCAGGUUUAAUUUUCACAAAUCAUAAAACACUAUUUUGAAUGUUUUGGCCUUUUACUUAAAUGAUCUAGUUCCCAGGUAAAACUUAAAUCAAAAACGUACUGUCAGAACUCAAGGGUCGCCUCUUUACAUUUUAGCAUGUGGUGACUCUGAAGAGUUGUUUUGGUUUUGUUUUAAAAGAACAUAACACAUAUGCAUAAAUAACUCCGAAUUUAAAAUAUAGAUUUGAAAAUAGUCCUCAAAUACAUUUAAAGGUAAAAAUGCCUUUUAAUCGCCAGUUUCCCUACCCUUUUCAAUAAAUUACUUCCUGGGAUUCAGUGAGCUCACUCUCUGUCUUAAAAGGAAAAUAAAGACUGUUUUUGCUUUCAGAUUUAUAUUCCCUCACUCCAGCUUUAUGACUAUGUGUGCACACACAACCAUUUCUCUCUCUCUUGCAGGUGGCGCAGACCAGGAAGGGGAAAUCUGUGGUUUUAAAUUCUUUAUGCCUCAUCCUCUGAAUGCUGGAGGCUUGCUGUAGGCUGUAUGCUGUUAAUGCUAAUCGUGAUAGGGGUUUUUACCUGCAACUGACUCCUACAUGUUAGCAUUAACAGGGUAUAAUGCCUGUUACUAGCAUUCACUGGAACAAAUUGCUGCCGUGGGAGGAUGACAAAGAAGCAUGAGUCACCCUGCUGGAUCAGCUUAAGACUUCGGGCUUGAUUGUUUUUGUUAAUCAUAAUCUGGUCACCGAGAAGUUCCACCUUCAGUUUUUAAGAGAGUAAGGUCAUUCAAAAGAUUUACCAGCAGCAUUCUGAAUGCAACCACUUUUACAUGAAUCUUCAAGCCCACAUCUUUGUUUUUAUUUUUAGUGAAAAAUGUAUUCGCGUAGUUUUUAAUUCAAAGUUAUGGUGUGUUCACUGUAACUGUUCAGCAGCACUCUUCAUAACUCAGCUGAAAGACAUAUGAACUAAACAUAUUCUGAAACAAAUUUCUAGAAUAUCUCUGUAAUUAAAAAUUAAAAGGACCCUGCAGUUGCAUCAUGGAUGGCCCAGCAACAUUUUUAAACAGAUUCACAAGUUGGCAUUUUUCCCCCCUCAUUUAACAAUUUCCUAUUUAGACAGUUAACACUUUUAUUUGAAUCUUAAGGGGGAACUGUAUGGCUAUGACAAUGAGUUUUUUUAGAAAUGAAAUAUUUUACCAAUUAGCAUGGUAAAUGAUGUCUGAGAUAAACCUCUCUCUUUUCCCUAAAAGGCACAAAGGCUUAAUAAAAAAAAAAAAAAAUUCAUAUUUGAAAAGAAGUCCCAAAUCUAGGUUCUUGAGUUUAAUAGCUUGGCCACAUAAUCAUGUUGUGGGGUCAGAGAAUCCACUUUUCCUCUCAAAGUCUGUGUGUUCAUCCACAGAAUGGGGCUAACAAUUUACAAGGUUGGUGUGAGGCUUAUGUGAAAUAGAACUAAUUUGUAAAAUAGAAUGUGUUACAUUAAUGUUUUAGUAAAAUUCAUCCAAGAACUAGUUACCCCCCACACACACUUUGUUAGAGAAAAGCUAAUGAUUUGAUUUACAGAACUGUUCAGAUUUGGAUUUCUCUGCAGCUGUUUUUUUUUUUCCAUAAUUGACUAUAUCAUUUACAAAUAAACAGUUAAUCAUAAUUGUUAGCAUAUUUAGCGAUACUUGUAUUAGCAACUCUUCUCAACAUUUUGUCAGUUGUAAGCCAAAUAAACCUCUUUUAGUCACUUA
Long non-coding RNA from Mustela lutreola (European mink), 6179 nucleotides. RefSeq lists it as uncharacterized. The transcript is spliced from 2 exons. The record is from RefSeq and is a predicted model, not a curated record. Lineage: Eukaryota; Metazoa; Chordata; Mammalia; Carnivora; Mustelidae.